This 425-nucleotide ribosomal RNA is filed under the name uncultured bacterium. Its description in RNAcentral is "bacterial SSU rRNA". It matches the Rfam family "Bacterial small subunit ribosomal RNA", at positions 354 to 796 of the family's 1533-position model. The record is from RNAcentral.
GUGGGGAAUAUUGGACAAUGGGCGCAAGCCUGAUCCAGCCAUGCCGCGUGAGUGAUGAAGGCCUUAGGGUUGUAAAGCUCUUUCAGUAGGGAAGAUAAUGACGGUACCUACAGAAGAAGCCCCGGCUAACUUCGUGCCAGCAGCCGCGGUAAUACGAAGGGGGCUAGCGUUGUUCGGAUUUACUGGGCGUAAAGCGCACGUAGGCGGAUUGGUCAGUUAGAGGUGAAAUCCCGAAGCUCAACUUCGGAACUGCCUUUAAUACUGCCAGUCUCGAGUCCGGAAGAGGUGAGUGGAACUCCUAGUGUAGAGGUGGAAUUCGUAGAUAUUAGGAAGAACACCAGUGGCGAAGGCGGCUCACUGGUCCGGUACUGACGCUGAGGUGCGAAAGCGUGGGGAGCAAACAGGAUUAGAUACCCGGGUAGUCC